RNAcentral lists this ribosomal RNA (486 nucleotides) under uncultured bacterium. RNAcentral describes it as "bacterial SSU rRNA". It matches the Rfam family "Bacterial small subunit ribosomal RNA", at positions 29 to 490 of the family's 1533-position model. The record is from RNAcentral.
AACGAACGCUGGCGGCGUGCUUAACACAUGCAAGUCGAACGCGAAAGGGACUUCGGUCCUGAGUAGAGUGGCGCACGGGUGAGUAACGCGUAAGUAAUCUACCCCUGCAUUCGGAAUAACCCACCGAAAGGUGAGCUAAUACCGGAUACGUUUAUCUUGAUGCGAAUGAUGAUAAAGAAAGGUGGCCUCUUCAUGAAAGCUACUGUGCAGGGAUGAGCUUGCGUACCAUUAGCUAGUUGGUAGGGUAAUGGCCUACCAAGGCGACGAUGGUUAGCGGGUCUGAGAGGAUGAUCCGCCACACUGGAACUGGAACACGGACCAGACUCCUACGGGAGGCAGCAGUGAGGAAUAUUGCGCAAUGGGGGCAACCCUGACGCAGCGACGCCGCGUGGAUGAUGAAGGCCCUUGGGUCGUAAAAUCCUGUCAGAUGGAAAGAAAUGUAUAUGUGCUAAUAUCGCAUAUAUUUGACGGUACCAUCAAAGGAAG